This 375-nucleotide ribosomal RNA is filed under the name uncultured Leptolyngbya sp. Its description in RNAcentral is "bacterial LSU rRNA". It matches the Rfam family "Bacterial large subunit ribosomal RNA", at positions 2098 to 2472 of the family's 2925-position model. Lineage: Bacteria; Bacillati; Cyanobacteriota; Cyanophyceae; Leptolyngbyales; Leptolyngbyaceae. The record is from RNAcentral.
GCUUUACUGUAGCCUGGAAUUGGGUUCGGGCUUUAACUGCGCAGGAUAGGUGGGAGGCUAUGAUCUAACUCUUGUGGGAGUUAGGGAGCCAACGGUGAGAUACCACUCUGUUAAGGCUAGAAUUCUAACUUGUUGCCGUUAUCCGGCAUGAGAACAGUUUCAGGUGGGCAGUUUGACUGGGGCGGUCGCCUCCUAAAUGGUAACGGAGGCGCGCAAAGGUUCUCUCAGGCUGGUUGGAAAUCAGCCGUAGAGUGUAAAAGCACAAGAGAGCUUGACUGUGAGACGAACAUGUCGAGCAGGGACGAAAGUCGGCUUUAGUGAUCCGACGGCAGAGCGUGGAAUCGCCGUCGCUAAACGGAUAAAAGUUACUCUAGG